Molecule: ribosomal RNA, 931 nt
Filed under: Flavobacterium oncorhynchi
Lineage: Bacteria; Pseudomonadati; Bacteroidota; Flavobacteriia; Flavobacteriales; Flavobacteriaceae
Description: bacterial SSU rRNA
Rfam family: Bacterial small subunit ribosomal RNA
Source: RNAcentral
AGUCGAGGGGUAUAUGUCUUCGGAUAUAGAGACCGGCGCACGGGUGCGUAACGCGUAUGCAAUCUGCCUUUUACAGAGGGAUAGCCCAGAGAAAUUUGGAUUAAUACCUCAUAGUAUUAUUGAGUGGCAUCACUUAAUAAUUAAAGUCACAACGGUGAAAGAUGAGCAUGCGUCCCAUUAGCUAGUUGGUAAGGUAACGGCUUACCAAGGCAACGAUGGGUAGGGGUCCUGAGAGGGAGAUCCCCCACACUGGUACUGAGACACGGACCAGACUCCUACGGGAGGCAGCAGUGAGGAAUAUUGGACAAUGGGCGCAAGCCUGAUCCAGCCAUGCCGCGUGCAGGAUGACGGUCCUAUGGAUUGUAAACUGCUUUUGUACGAGAAGAAACACUGCUUCGUGAAGCAGCUUGACGGUAUCGUAAGAAUAAGGAUCGGCUAACUCCGUGCCAGCAGCCGCGGUAAUACGGAGGAUCCAAGCGUUAUCCGGAAUCAUUGGGUUUAAAGGGUCCGUAGGCGGUUUAGUAAGUCAGUGGUGAAAGCCCAUCGCUCAACGGUGGAACGGCCAUUGAUACUGCUGAACUUGAAUUAUUAGGAAGUAACUAGAAUAUGUAGUGUAGCGGUGAAAUGCUUAGAGAUUACAUGGAAUACCAAUUGCGAAGGCAGGUUACUACUAAUUGAUUGACGCUGAUGGACGAAAGCGUGUGGAGCGAACAGGAUUAGAUACCCUGGUAGUCCACGCCGUAGACGAUGGAUACUAGCUGUUGGGCGCAAGUUCAGUGGCUAAGCGAAAGUGAUAAGUAUCCCACCUGGGGAGUACGUUCGCAAGAAUGAAACUCAAAGGAAUUGACGGGGGCCCGCACAAGCGGUGGAGCAUGUGGUUUAAUUCGAUGAUACGCGAGGAACCUUACCAAGGCUUAAAUGUAGAUUGACC